RNAcentral lists this ribosomal RNA (492 nucleotides) under uncultured bacterium. RNAcentral's name for it is "partial 16S ribosomal RNA". It matches the Rfam family "Bacterial small subunit ribosomal RNA", at positions 29 to 507 of the family's 1533-position model. The record is from RNAcentral.
AGUGAACGCUGGCGGUAGGCCUAACACAUGCAAGUCGAACGGCAGCACAUUAAGAGCUUGCUCUUACGGGUGGCGAGUGGCGGACGGGUGAGGAAUACAUCGGAAUCUACUUUUUCGUGGGGGAUAACGGAGGGAAACUUACGCUAAUACCGCAUACGACCUACGGGUGAAAGCAGGGGAUCUUCGGACCUUGCGCGAAUGAAUGAGCCGAUGUCGGAUUAGCAAGUUGGCGGGGUAAAGGCACACCAAGGCGACGAACCGUAGAUGGUCUGAGAGGGUGAAUCAGCACACUGGAACUGAGACACGGUCCAGACUCUGGAGGGAGGCAGCAGUGGAGAAUAUUGGACAAUGGGGGCAAGCCUGAUCCAGCCAUACCGCGUGAGUGAAGAAGGCCUUCGGGUUGUAAAGCCAAUUUGUUGGGAAAGAAAAGCAGCAGGUUAAUACCCCGCUGUUCUGACGGUACCCUAAGAAUAAGCACCGGCUAACUUCGUG